UCCUUAUCCCCAUCCACACAAAACCCUUAUUCCCCCUCUCUCAUCGCCGUACACCCCUUCUCCACCCUCCUCUUUCACCGCCGAUCACCACCCCCACUAUCAAUUUUCACCGUCGACCAACACCCUCCUCUUUCAUCCGCCGUCACCCACCCCUUCCUCGUCGCCGUACACCCCUCUCCGCUUUGUUUCGUUACCCCCCACCACCGAAACCUUCCACCCACCAUACCUCCCCCGUCCGACCACCAUUUUCCAUCAUCUCCUCCGACCACCACGUGACCGGAAUCUCCACCCGCACAAAACCCACAUCAUCCGGCCGCUACAUCAUCGCGACUCGGGACCAAACGAAAUUCAAAAAGUUCAUAUUUUUCUUGUGUAAUUCAUCGAUUCAGGCAUGGCUAGUAGCUCUCGUCGAGGAAAGGGUAGGAAAACCGGAGGGGGCAGUCAGCACCGCAGCAGGAUCCGGUUCCUCAAGAAACGCUGAUGUAGGGUAAAAUGUGCAAAUAGAGCGAAAAUGAGUAAUAACCAAAUAACCAGCCAGUUGGGUAAAGCGAGGUGCCAGUGACCAAAGUAAAAUUACCGCUAAUUUCUCACAAUUACAAGAAGGUCAAAGUGUGGAAACACACUUGAAGAUAUAUAAUAUUAAUCAAAAUGAAAGAAAUAUUCUAUGAAAUGAACUUUGGUGGUCACGUACAAAAAGAGAAACAAUUGAACGAUAUGGGCUAAUUCAUGUUUAGUCCAAAGUGUUUAAGUGUUAGUGGGCUCAACUAAACAACACGAAACGAAAGUUGCUGCCAUACCUAUAUUAUUUUUUUUGGGCCGCUAGUAUUAUUUAGAAAAGGGUGGACAGCAAUUAUUUGGAAUUAAAGGAAAAGAUCAUGAGGAAUCCAAUAUCGAUCAUACAUCAUUCAUUAUGUUCGACCAUACAUGGGGGCCCAAUUUUGGUGGCCGUGAAUUCUAAAAAAAAGGCAUUCAUAUAUUUUAUUUUGGACAACAACAUCACAAAGGAAGAUGGCAGCCAAUAUUUGGGGCGGCAGCCGGCUGAGAAGAAGGCAGACAUUAAUUGGGCCAGCCCAAUAUGUGAACGAAGUUAGAGAGGGGCGGCAGACCUCUUUGUUUUUUUGGAGAGACACACGCAAGAGUUGGGGAUUAAUUGAGGGGCACGAAUUUAUAUACACGGUUGAGAGGGGAAUUAUUAUUGCAUAUACACACCAGUUGACAACUGUGAGGGGAGCCGCACAUUAUUAUUGGACGCAACCAGCAACAUCUACGAAUUUUGGAGAAGGUGUUUAGCAAAGAUCAAGGCCACAGAAUCGUUGGGUUGAAGCAAGAAGCUUGGAGAGCAAGGAUUAACUGGGUUUUGCCAUUCGGUUUCUUUUAUUUUCUAGUCUUUUUGUUUUAAUUCAAUGAAUUCAUUAUUUGAACAUUGCUUGAUUAUUUUUGAGACUUUGUUCGUUAUGAUUAUUGGCUAGAUUUCUUGUUACUA
This is a long non-coding RNA of Helianthus annuus (common sunflower), 1483 nucleotides long. RefSeq lists it as uncharacterized. The transcript is spliced from 3 exons. NCBI's taxonomy places the organism in Eukaryota, Viridiplantae, Streptophyta, Magnoliopsida, Asterales, Asteraceae. The record is from RefSeq and is a predicted model, not a curated record.